CCCAACAACCGUCUCUAUCCAGUGCUGUGCUUCAGCCUCCUGGCUAGCCUCCCUCUUACCAGCAACCUGCAAGAUUAAAGGGACUAUUUUAAUAGAAUCCCUGAAGUGAUUAACGACCGUUGGUAUCUCUCAAGAUGGAUAGGGUCUAUUUAGAUAUGCCGGUCGAAAAUAAAUCCUGUUCUCAAGCUUGGGUGGUUCCCCUCGCACACGUGGCCGUUAUCGUUUAUUUUGGGAACUGGAGGAACCGGUUCAAUUAACUAACUGGAUUAACAACUUUAAUCAUUAACUGAGCAAGCACUCGCAAGUUGCGAGAAAUCUCUCAUCCUACCCGCCAUCUAGCAGCUGGCUCGCCAACUAGAGGACUAGAUCCUAUCGCCGAUUCAACCCAUUCUACCAGCAUAUCGCUCAGCAACAAACAUCAUAGUUGCAAUAUUUUAUUAAACAAGAUACAUCAUCUUUACAAACAAAUAAUACUCAAUAUUGCACAAUGCACCAUGUGUCAUAAUAUCACAUGAAACAGAUGUAAAUGCAAUUUACUCCAAACAUGAAAUAUAAAUAACGCUGCCAGCGUUAAUUGCAACAGCGUUACAAUUGUUAACAUGAAACUAAGCAACACAAUUGUACGGAACUUUCUGAGGAUUUCCUGAGGACGCACGCGUCAACCGUGGACGGUGUAUUUGCAAUUGAACGCAAGUAAAGAUCGGUUAAGUAUUUGCUGGAAAUGCACUGCAAUAGGAGAACAGGCAGCCAGGAGGUGGCCGUUUAAGUAUGUGCACGCAACGACGCCUCGCAGCCCAGUACUCCAUUUUACUCCGUUCUUUCCUUUGCGAUCGCAAAGGCCACCUGUUGCUUUCGUGCCAGAACCAACGGUUUCAACGAUAUAACACGAGUCUUGAAUUAUUACAGAUCCCUCUAACCGGUUCAGGUGGAGAACCUCCUUUGGAUAAUGUUUGUUCUACCCUUUGCACUUGGAGGAAUUCCUGAUACUGUCAAUGUCUCAGCAACUCCAAGUAAUCUUUACUAAAAGUUAGUAGCUACUCUGGGAGUAUUUAUACGUGAUCUAGUAAAUCCAUCUUCCUCGUAGCUAUCAUUUCUUUGCAUUUUAGGAGGAAUAUGCUUUUCUUUGAUUCAUUAAAAUAUUUAAUAUAACUGGUGCAAUAUUGGAGCACAGAGUUCAAAGGGUUAACUUCUGUAUAAUGCAUCGAUACGUGAAAUACUUAUGUAAAAGCUUUGUUUCUUAAGUCACGUAUUUCUAAAUACGAAAAUGUCGAAUGUUUCUAAUCUAAAGCUUCCGA
This is a non-coding RNA of Nomia melanderi (Alkali bee), 1295 nucleotides long. The record is from RefSeq and is a predicted model, not a curated record. NCBI's taxonomy places the organism in Eukaryota, Metazoa, Arthropoda, Insecta, Hymenoptera, Halictidae.